This 384-nucleotide ribosomal RNA is filed under the name uncultured Actinomycetes bacterium. RNAcentral describes it as "bacterial SSU rRNA". It matches the Rfam family "Bacterial small subunit ribosomal RNA", at positions 961 to 1351 of the family's 1533-position model. Lineage: Bacteria; Bacillati; Actinomycetota; Actinomycetes. The record is from RNAcentral.
GCGAAGAACCUUACCAAGGCUUGACAUAUAGGGAAAAGUGGCAGAGAUGUCAUGUCCGCAAGGGCUCUAUACAGGUGGUGCAUGGUUGUCGUCAGCUCGUGUCGUGAGAUGUUGGGUUAAGUCCCGCAACGAGCGCAACCCUCGUUCUGUGUUGCCAGCAUUUAGUUGGGGACUCACAGGAGACUGCCGGGGUUAACUCGGAGGAAGGUGGGGAUGACGUCAAAUCAUCAUGCCCCUUAUGUCUUGGGCUGCACGCAUGCUACAAUGGCCGGUACAGAGGGCUGCAAUACCGCAAGGUGGAGCGAAUCCCAAAAAGCCGGUCUCAGUUCGGAUUGAGGUCUGCAACUCGACCUCAUGAAGUUGGAGUUGCUAGAAUCGAGAUCA